Molecule: long non-coding RNA, 774 nt
Filed under: Homo sapiens (human)
Lineage: Eukaryota; Metazoa; Chordata; Mammalia; Primates; Hominidae
Description: HSALNT0070640
Source: RNAcentral
UUUCUGUCUAGCUCAGGGAUUGUAAAUGCACCAAUCAGCACCGGGUCAAAACAGACCACUUGGCUCUACCAAUCAGCAGGAUGUGAGUGGGGCCAGAUAAGAGAAUAAAAGCAGGCUGCCCAAGCCAGCAGGGGCAACCCGCGCGGGUCCCUUUCCACUCUGUGGAAGCUUUGUUCUUUUGCUUUUUGCAAUAAACCUUGCUACUGCUCACUUUUUGGGUUAACACUGCUUUUAUGAGUUGUAACACUCACCGCAAAGGUCUGCAGCUUCACUCCUGAGCCAGCUCUGAGACCGUGAACCCACCAGAAAGAAGAAACUCCGAACACAUCCGAACAUCAGAAGGAAUAAACUCCAGACGCGCCACCUUAAGAGCUGUAACACUCACCGCGAGGAUCCGCGGCUUCAUUCUUGAAGUCAGUGAGACCAAGAACCCACCAAUUCCAGAGACACUACUGUGUGGGUUUCUGUGGACAGCAGUUCUGCCAAACUGUUUUCCAGUGUGGCUGUACCAUUUUGCAUUCCCGCCAGCAAUGAAACGAAGUUUCUAAUGCUUCACCUUGUCACCAGUAUUUGAUAUUAUCAGUGUCCUGGCUACUCAAAUAGGAAAAGCUUAAGGGAAAGAUUUUUCUGUGAGCUGGUGCUGAUGUUGUAUGUUCCAGCAGAUCUUCAAAGAAAUGUAAGAUAAUUUAUUGAAAUAAGGAAUAAACUUUUUUCUGAGUUCUACUUGAUUGCCUAAAAGUUACAUUUUUAUAAAGAUAAAAUUUGUACAAUUCA